This 437-nucleotide ribosomal RNA is filed under the name Streptomyces olivoviridis. Its description in RNAcentral is "bacterial SSU rRNA". It matches the Rfam family "Bacterial small subunit ribosomal RNA", at positions 338 to 787 of the family's 1533-position model. Lineage: Bacteria; Bacillati; Actinomycetota; Actinomycetes; Kitasatosporales; Streptomycetaceae. The record is from RNAcentral.
CCUACGGGAGGCAGCAGUGGGGAAUAUUGCACAAUGGGCGAAAGCCUGAUGCAGCGACGCCGCGUGCGGGAUGAAGGCCUUCGGGUUGUAAACCUCUUUCAGCAGGGAAGAAGCGAAAGUGACGGUACCUGCAGAAGAAGCACCGGCUAACUACGUGCCAGCAGCCGCGGUAAUACGUAGGGUGCGAGCGUUGUCCGGAAUUAUUGGGCGUAAAGAGCUCGUAGGCGGCUUGUCACGUCGGAUGUGAAAGCUCGGGGCUUAACCCCGAGUCUGCAUUCGAUACGGGCUAGCUAGAGUGUGGUAGGGGAGAUCGGAAUUCCUGGUGUAGCGGUGAAAUGCGCAGAUAUCAGGAGGAACACCGGUGGCGAAGGCGGAUCUCUGGGCCAUUACUGACGCUGAGGAGCGAAAGCGUGGGGAGCGAACAGGAUUAGAUACCC